GAUGAAGAACGUAGCGAAAUGCGAUAAGUAAUGUGAAUUGCAGAAUUCAGUGAAUCAUCGAAUCUUUGAACGCACAUUGCGCCCGCCAGUAUUCUGGCGGGCAUGCCUGUUCGAGCGUCAUUUCAACCCUCAAGACCCCUUCGGGGGACUUGGUGUUGGGGACCGGCACAGGGGCCUGCCUGCUUGUCUUGCAGCGCCCUCGCCGCCCCCGAAAUGAAUUGGCGGCCUCGUCGCGGCCUCCCCUGCGUAGUAGCACAAACCUCGCAACGGGAACGUGACGGCGGCCACUGCCGUAAAACAACCCAAUUUUAUUAGAGUUGACCUCGAAUCAGGUAGGAAUACCCGCUGAACUUAAGCAUAUCAAUAAGCGGAGGA
RNAcentral lists this unclassified non-coding RNA (375 nucleotides) under soil metagenome. RNAcentral describes it as "partial contains 5.8S ribosomal RNA, internal transcribed spacer 2, and large subunit ribosomal RNA". The stretch from base 1 to 120 matches the Rfam family "5.8S ribosomal RNA", at positions 35 to 154 of the family's 154-position model. The record is from RNAcentral.